UGCUGAUAUUUAAUCUGAAAUAUGUCUUCGUGCAUUGAUUUAAAAAAAGCUUUGCAAGUUGGUCUCGUCAGCAAAAUUUCUGAUGAAGAAAAUCUUGAAAGUCUUGUUGAAAGUGUCUUGCAAAGUAUGUUAUUAAAAAGCAGGUGUGUUUUAGCAAUGGGGAAAAAGUUUUUCUACGAACAAUUAAAUCAAUCUCUUCCUUCUGCUUACAGG
Parasteatoda tepidariorum (common house spider) is the source of this 213-nucleotide non-coding RNA. Lineage: Eukaryota; Metazoa; Arthropoda; Arachnida; Araneae; Theridiidae. The record is from RefSeq and is a predicted model, not a curated record.